UGGGGAAUAUUUCACAAUGGGCGCAAGCCUGAUGCAGCCAUGCCGCGUGUAUGAAGAAGGCCUUCGGGUUGUAAAGUACUUUCAGCGGGGAGGAAGGGAGUAAAGUUAAUACCUUUGCUCAUUGACGUUACCCGCAGAAGAAGCACCGGCUAACUCCGUGCCAGCAGCCGCGGUAAUACGGAGGGUGCAAGCGUUAAUCGGAAUUACUGGGCGUAAAGCGCACGCAGGCGGUUUGUUAAGUCAGAUGUGAAAUCCCCGGGCUCAACCUGAGAACUAGAUCUGAGACUGGCAAGCAUGUGGCUCGUAGAGGGGGGUAGAAUUCCAGGUGUAGCGGUGAAAUGCGUGGAGAUCUGGAGAAAUACCGGUGGCGAAGGCGGCCACCUGGACGAAGACAGACGCUAAGGUGCGAAAGCGUGGGGAGCAAACAGG
Molecule: ribosomal RNA, 429 nt
Filed under: Chloroflexota bacterium
Lineage: Bacteria; Bacillati; Chloroflexota
Description: Chloroflexi bacterium partial 16S ribosomal RNA
Rfam family: Bacterial small subunit ribosomal RNA
Source: RNAcentral